AUGGGCUGCUUCCUCUCCUGCUUCCGCGGCCGCCCCGACCCGGCCGUCCGGGCCCUCCACGAUCCGCUCGUGCGCAAGACCCGGCUCGGGGAUGCCUUCCUGGACGACCACCACGACGACGGCACGGCGAAGCUUGAGGAGAGCGGGACGCCCAAGGAGGGUCCCGGUAACGACGGAGGGGUCGACGACGACCUCAGGCGAGAGGCAAAUUAUCUUAAAUCUUGUGGCGCAAUAUCAGAAACCCCUCCCGAAAUUCUGAAAGCAUCAAACCAAGUCGAAGAGCAAGAAAUUAAUGAGUGCAAUGAGACGUCCAACAAUGCACAGGAGACUAAAGAGGCCCUGGUGUCUGAAAAUAAGGAUUACUUGUCUGAAGGGUUCAACUCCGACGGGCACGAUGGAGCUUUGAAGCAUGACCAGGACACCGACGAAGGCACUGACGACCAUGUCACGGAGGUUGAAUCAGCGCCGAGAUCAUCAUCGCAGGAAAGGUCUUCAGCCCAGAUCAUCAGGAACCAGAAUCCUGAUCCUAGCGACUCGCCUUUCCCCACUCCUCUGGUCCUUAGAGACGAUAUCCAGACUCCUGGAUUCACCACACACCAGGGGAACUUCAAGCCCGGGAAGCGCGGGAGGGCCAGCAAGCAAUUUGUAUACCCCGUCCUGAGACCCAUCGAGAACAAGCUGCAGUGGACGGAGCUGAGAGACGAGUCCUCCCCCAUGGUCGCCUCUCACCCUCCCAAAAGAAGGUACCUGUCCGCAGAUUCCACCGAGAAGCCUCAGCAGCACACCCUUCCAGGCUCAGUGAAUGAAAGCACAGAGCUGUCAUCAGAGUCUGCGCCAUUUCUGUUCCAUUCCGGCAGGAAAGAGCAGCAGGCUCAAGAGGAUGAGAAUGUCAACCAGCAGCAGCUUGUGGGUGGCGGUGGCGUCGGAGAGCUGCUGAACAAGAGCUCGGAGAACGGGAAGCAUGGCGUGGCCAGCCUGUCGUGCUGGCUCAAGACCUCGUGCGCGGAUGGUGAGGGUGAGACUGGACGGCAGCUGGGCUUCGGGAGCGUCGAUCUCAGCGACGUGCCCAUCUUUGUGGCCUCUGGACUGAACUGGGACAACGAGAACAACCCUACCCCGAUGCUGCCCAAGGCCUGGGACGGCAAUGGGAUCCCCAACACCACCACCAAGUACAAAGAGGACCAGAGAGUGAACUGGCAUGCCACGCCGUUCGAGGAGAGGCUGAUGAAAGUUUUGUCCGAUGAGAAACCACACCAUCAGAGGAAGAUCAGUGGAAAGCUGAUCCACCUGGAGGAGGACGCGAUAGAGAGCCCGGCAAGUGCGACUGCUUCCUCGUGA
RNAcentral lists this ribosomal RNA (1338 nucleotides) under Triticum aestivum (bread wheat). RNAcentral's name for it is "partial small subunit ribosomal RNA". Lineage: Eukaryota; Viridiplantae; Streptophyta; Magnoliopsida; Poales; Poaceae. The record is from RNAcentral.